AAAGCUGUACUCUGUGAAGCUUCCCUUUGUCCUUGGGAGGAAGUGUGAUUGCCUCACUUAAUUUACAGCUCUUUUGUGACUCCAUCCCUGUGUUCUCUUCCACUCUGUCUGGUACCUUGCACUAACCCCUGUCCCUCCCAGCCUUACCCUGCACUAACUCCUCUCCCUCCCAGCCUUUUCUGCCCCACUGCCAGCCUGGGUCAUGGUAUCCUGCUUCCCAUGUGCUCGUGUGGUUCUGACUGCCCCGAGGAGCUUGCCUCAGGUCAUGAGCCUCCCCAGUUGUGUUUUUGCUGUUCUCUGAGAGCCGUGUGGUCACCCUAUUAGAACAUCUUCCUUCAGAACUGUUAUUGGUUGUCUGUCUCUGGACCCUUUGGUUCCUGGCUUCCUGGCAUGCAGAAGCAUCUCCUGGAUGAGUGUGUAUCAGUGUGUGAAGACUCUCAGGCCAGCUCUGGGGGCUCAGGGUCAAUUCUUUCCUUUAGACCUGAGGCACUAAAGGUCUAGCCUAUUGAAGAUUAUAUAAACUACUAUCUAAAAGCUAAGAAAGAUGGAGCUGCUGAUGUAGCUCAAUGCUCAGGUAUGCACCAGACUAGCAUGUAUGAGACUCUGAUCUCAGUAACACACACACACACACACACACACACACACACAGGCACAUUGAUUAAGAAAGAAGGGUUUAUGUACUUACACAAACAACAUACUAUCCAUAUUGUUCUGUAACGUGAAAUGGAGACUGAAUAAAAGAGCUGAAGAGAUGGUUCAGUGACUGAGAACACUUGCUGCUCUUGCAGAGGACUUGGGUUCAGUUCCUAGCACCCACAUGGUGGCGCACAACCAUGUGUAACUCUAGUUCUAGGGGAUCAGAAGCCCUCUUAUGGUCUGGGCAGGCACACAUGGAGCAAGAAGUACAUGUAGGCAAAAUACUCAUACACAUAAAAAUAAUAAAUACAUCUUUAAAGUCAAUGGAAAAAAUGAGAAGAAGAAACUGUUAUCCAGGUGUGAUUGUACACCUGUAAUCCCAGAACUUUGAAGGAUAAGAUAAGAACAUCUAAGUUUGAGGCCAGCCUUGGCUACAUCAUGAGUUCAAGGGUAGCCUCGGUCCUAGGUAGGGUGGGGUUUGUUUUGUUUUUCUGUAAUAAACACUACGACCAAAAGCAAUUUUGAAAGGAAAGGGAAGGGUUUAUUUCAUUUCAUAGAUUAUAAUCUGUCACCAGUCAAGAGAAGUCAAGGCAGGAGCUCAAGGCAAGUUCCUGGAGGAAGCAACUGAAGCAGAGGCCAUGGAAGGAGGAGGUUUACUGGCUUGCCUCCCAUGGCUGCUUUCUUAGACCAUUCAAGACCACCUGGCCACCUGGGAUGGCACCACCCACUUUGAGCUGGGCUCUCACACUUCAACCAUCAAUCAAGAAAAAUGCCCUACAGGCUGGUUUUAUGGAGGUAUUUGGUUAAUUAAGAGUCCUCUUUCCUAGAUAUAUCUAGGUUUGUGUCAUGUUGACAAAGACCAAUCUGUCUGCUUGGGCUACGGAAUGAGACUUUGUUUGUAUUUAAAGAAGGGCUUUAUAUGUGACUUAGUCAGUAGAAUGCUUGCCUGGCACGUCCAAGGCCCUGGUUUUGACCCCUGGCACCACAUAACCGAGUGUGGUGGUAUAUGCCUGUAAUCCUAACAUUGGGACGUAGAGGCAGAAGGAUCAGAAGCUUAAGGCUAGUAUGGGGAUACAUGAGACUCUGUGGCAGAGAAGAGAAAAAAGAUGUAGCCCUGGCUGGCCUGAAACUCACUGUGUAGACCAGGUUGGCCUCAAACUCACAGAUCCACCUGCCUCUGCCUCCCAAGUACAAAAAUAAGCCCCAACUUAUUUUUGAGCCAGGGUCUCUGAGUGAACUAAGUGGUUAGUCUGGCUGGGCACUCCAAAAACUGGGCUACACCCAGCUUUUUAUGUGGGUGCUGGGGCUCCAAACUGAGAGAGCUCCUUUACUGACUGAGCCAUCUGCCUGGCCCUCGGAACCCACCUUCUGAGUCAAUCAGCUGAUUGCACUGGCUGUAGACUACAAUGGUAAGUGCAAUGAGCAUCGGCUGUGCUGCGUGCCCUGUGCCCACUGGGCUCUGGCAGACUGUCAUGAGAAUGUGGAGUGGCAGCAGGCAGCCCAGGGUCUCAGAAGCUGUCUUGCUCACAGUGGUGGUGGUGGUGGGCACUGGUUUUGAUGCUGUGUGAAGCAGUCGAGCUGAGGUGUCGGGUUCUGGCAGUCGCCUGCCUAUCUCGUCAGCUUUUGGCCCAGAGAGCAGGAGCUGUGGGCUGGAGACCACCCUGCGGCUUUUCGCUCCUUUCUCCUGCUCCCUUGUUCACUCAUCAGCUUCUUUCACUACAGCAAAGUACCCACCUUUGUUCGAAUGCUGGCCCCAGAAGGCGCCCUGAAUAUACACGAGAAAGCCUGGAAUGCCUACCCUUACUGCAGAACCGGUGAGUGCAGGGCUGCCCAAGGUGGGCACAAGUGGGCAGUGAGGUCGGAAGGAGGGGAGUCAGGGCUUUGUGCCCACUGUAACUUUUCAGAGUAAGCCGGAGGAGGGAGGAGGGGGCUCCUUCAAGCAUGGUGCAUGUCAGGGUUAUCCAUACAGCUUAGCCUCCCUGACAGUCAGAGCCAGAGGGGCAGCACAGAACAGCUUCUCUGAUUGGGGGUUAUUUUGACAAUUUUAAUUAUUUUUAAUGAUUACAAAAGUAAUGCUUACUGCAAGUAUUUUUAAAAAUAGAUUAAAAAGAGGAGAAAGUAAUUACUCAUGAGUCUUCUGUCUCUGGAUACUCACUGCUAACACUGCAGGAGUUUCCAGCCUUGUUUGGGAUGUUGUCAAAUUACAUUGACUUCUCUCUAAUUCUUUUAAAGUUACAGUUACAUCUCUCUCUCUUUCUCUCUCUCUCCCUCCCUCUCUCUCUCUCUCUCUCCCUCUCUCUCUCUCUCUCUCUCUCUCUCUCUCUCUCUCUCUCUCACACACACAUGUGAUGGUGUGUACAUGGAAGUUAAUGGACGAUUUUUGUAAGUCCAUUCCUUCCUUCCACUAUGCAGAUCCAGGGGACAAACUUAAGCCAUCAGGCUUGGUGGCAAAGAAAAUUUACCCACUCUUUUUCCUUGCUGACUGGAAUUAUUAUUUUUAAAAAACUAUUACAGAUUUUUAAAAAAUGUAUACAUGACUUUGCCUCCAUGUAUGUAUUUGUACCAUGUGUGCUUCUGAUGCCUACAGAGGCUAAAAGAAGGCAUUGCAUCCCCAGAACUGGAGUCACAAAAGGCUAUGAACUGCUUUGUGGAUGCUGGGAACUGAAUUCUGUUCCUCUGCAAUUGCAGUGAGUGACCCUAACCACUGAGCCCUCUCUCCAGCACCCCUAAAGCUUCUUAAUAUUUACAGUAGCAGCAUAAGUGUGAAUUCACCAUCAUGUGAAUGCAUAGCUGGCCAACUGUAUCUGUGGGCUCCACAUCCACAAACUCUAUAAACUCAGAUCAAAAAUAUUUGGGAGACACACUGGGCUUGGUCGUCCAAGCCUUUGAUCCUAGCACUUGUGAGAGGGAGGCAGGUGGAUCUUUGUGUGUUUGAGGCUAUCCUGGUCUAUAUAGGGAGUUCAAGCCUAGCCAGGGCUACAUAAGGAGAACUGUCUUUAAAAG
This 3639-nucleotide long non-coding RNA is filed under the name Mus musculus (house mouse). RNAcentral describes it as "long non-coding RNA chr11:75601030-75604669". Lineage: Eukaryota; Metazoa; Chordata; Mammalia; Rodentia; Muridae. The record is from RNAcentral.